Molecule: long non-coding RNA, 702 nt
Organism: Juglans regia (Persian walnut)
Lineage: Eukaryota; Viridiplantae; Streptophyta; Magnoliopsida; Fagales; Juglandaceae
Exons: 4
Source: RefSeq, a predicted model, not a curated record
CCCAUUCCACCUACCUUUCAUAUCAGCACCUCUCAACUCUUCAAAAUCUACUCUUCAACAACUCUCAAGUCUUGGUCUUCCCUUUCACAUAGCAAGAGGGCUGCCUUGUACGCUGGGAACACGAGUUUGAGAGAGGAAAUUUGACGGCUGCAUUAUGUGAGAUUCAAGUGAAGAAGCAAUAAAAUCUAUCCCUUACAUCCAUCUGGAUCUGACAUUAUUUUUCAGAUUCACUUGAUGCACGUGAGAGGAGCUCGUGACUUCUUUAGACGGUGCUAACCCUAGUCCUUUGGAUCUUGACACGUGGCUGAAUCUGUUGCAAGAUAUAUAUAUAUAUCUCUUUUGCCUUGUAACCCUAGAGUGAAUUUUUAUUCUUGGUUGACGGCUGGUUUCGAGAGAGAGUGAGAGCAGAGAGAAGGGUGAGUUAGGGUUUGCUUCUGGGAAGAAAUCUGUGCGAUUUCUUGGGUUUCCAGUGAGGGCAUUGUAACUCUAAUGUACUGAGGCUUCUCUAUGAAGUACUGUUCAUCAAUAAAGAUCUCUGUGGCUUUUCUGAGGCCAUUCCUGCCGUGGACGUAGACCAUUAGGGUCGAACCACGUAUAUCGGUGUGUUCUUUCCUUUAUCUCUAUAUUUUCUUCAUUCUUGCUCACUGAUUAUGAUUCUUGAUAUGUUUAUGUGCAUAUUGUGAUAUAUUAGCAAACUGUACA